Molecule: long non-coding RNA, 1194 nt
Filed under: Ananas comosus (pineapple)
Lineage: Eukaryota; Viridiplantae; Streptophyta; Magnoliopsida; Poales; Bromeliaceae
Description: long non-coding RNA (ACOM_LNC023384)
Source: RNAcentral
ACGCCCCGCGGUCCCUUUUAGUUUAAAAGGUAGCGGAAAAGCGUCUGAAAAUUUUUUUUUUUGAAAAUCUGACCCCAGAGUGUGCCAGAUCCGCCACAAAUACAGGAGUUCCACUGUUCACCCGGACAGAGUCUCCCCUGUAUUUGCACGGCGUCGCACAAGUACAAGAGUUCAAUCAUACAACAACCACAACCAGAUGAAUAUACAAACAACCACAGAUAUACAUUCAUACACCAUUCACCACAGAUUCACAAUGAUACCUUCGCUAUUUAAAUAUAAAUCCACAACUAUCAGUUAAAAUGUUUCCAACCACAGAAACAGGUUUUGAAAUACUAAGAUACAAAAUCCACAGAAACCUUUUGAAAACUGUUCCCUACACAGGAACUUUUAACUUUUCAAAACGCUACCACGAGGGGUAGAAAACCAUUUCCAUUUCAAGAAAACACAAAUUCUUUUAUUACAUUCCAAAACCAACUGAAAACUCAGAUAUCCAAAUAGUAAAAUAAAACUGAACCAUAAUAUGUCUAAGUUAGUUAUUUAUUUAAUCAUGAAGAGUAAGGGUAGAUAAACCAAACCACGGGACGGAAAGCUCUAUCGUGUGCUAGACCCGUUCCUCACCAGCUGUCCCACUCGGACCGGCUACGUCACCUGUAAUGGGGGCGGGGGGUGAGAACAUGUAAACAUGUCUCCCCUCCCAGUGGGUACCGCAAGCCGAAGAAGGCGAGGGGUACUCACUAGUCACGGAGAUAAACAAAUAUAUGGAUAAUGGUAGUACAGUAGCUAAAAUAAACAAGUACUGAAGUGUAUAUAAAUGAACAACUACAGCUACUGUAUGUAUGCAUCAACGGGACAAUCAGUCCAAAAGUACCCAAUCUGAACCCAAUGCUCUCUUGGUCAGCACCGCAGACCUCAAGCCAAUGCCACUACUACUCUCCAGUGCAUAUAACCCCUCUAGGGCUCACGGGUUGUCACCAUUCAACCACUUUUCCGGAAAAGAACACUCCUUGCGGUGGAUCAGACCGCCAGUGUUCGUGAAAUGCGACGAGUAUCGGGCGAUCAAUGCAAUAUGCUCAAUGAUCAACCGUCGGCAACCAGCCGACAAUCCUGCCCCCCAGGGCCCAUCGACCGCAUGGGUCAUCAUGUAACCAAAUCGACCAACCAGGUCACAAGUAUGGAGUAUGAAACUCGACCAAC